This 156-nucleotide ribosomal RNA is filed under the name uncultured bacterium. RNAcentral describes it as "partial 16S ribosomal RNA". It matches the Rfam family "Bacterial small subunit ribosomal RNA", at positions 355 to 509 of the family's 1533-position model. The record is from RNAcentral.
UGAGGAAUAUUGGUCAAUGGGCGAGAGCCUGAACCAGCCAAGUCGCGUGAGGAAGACGGUCCUAUGGAUUGUAAACCUCUUUUGUCGGGGAGCAACGAAGGCACGUGUGCCUGAAGCGAGAUUACCCGAAGAAAAAGCAUCGGCUAACUCCGUGCC